AACGAACGCUGGCGGCAGGCCUAACACAUGCAAGUCGAGCGGACCUUUCGGGGUCAGCGGCGGACGGGUGAGUAACGCGUGGGAAUAUGCCCUUCUCUACGGAAUAGUCCUGGGAAACUGGGGGUAAUACCGUAUACGCCCUUUGGGGGUAAGAUUUAUCGGGGAAGGAUUAGCCCGCGUUGGAUUAGGUAGUUGGUGGGGUAAUGGCCUACCAAGCCGACGAUCCAUAGCUGGUUUGAGAGGAUGAUCAGCCACACUGGGACUGAGACACGGCCCAGACUCCUACGGGAGGCAGCAGUGGGGAGUCUUAGACAAUGGGGGCAACCCUGAUCUAGCCAUGCCGCGUGAGUGAUGAAGGCCUUAGGGUUGUAAAGCUCUUUCAGCUGGGAAGAUAAUGACGGUACCAGCAGAAGAAGCCCCGGCUAACUCCGUG
Molecule: ribosomal RNA, 433 nt
Filed under: uncultured bacterium
Lineage: Bacteria
Description: partial 16S ribosomal RNA
Rfam family: Bacterial small subunit ribosomal RNA
Source: RNAcentral